Molecule: ribosomal RNA, 466 nt
Filed under: uncultured bacterium
Lineage: Bacteria
Description: SSU rRNA
Rfam family: Bacterial small subunit ribosomal RNA
Source: RNAcentral
AGGACGAACGCUGGCGGCGUGCUUAACACAUGCAAGUCGAACGAGGUGCUUGCACCUAGUGGCGAACGGGUGAGUAACACGUGAGCAACCUGCCCUUGGCUCUGGGAUAGCCUCCGGAAACGGGGAUUAAUACCGGACAUUCACUUUUUCCUGCAUGGGGGAGGGUGGAAAGUUUUUCGGCCAGGGAUGGGCUCGCGGCCUAUCAGCUUGUUGGGGGGGUAACGCCCACCAAGGCGACGACGGGUAGCCGGCCUGAGAGGGCGACCGGCCACACUGGGACUGAGACACGGCCCAGACUCCUACGGGAGGCAGCAGUGGGGAAUAUUGCGCAAUGGGGGAAACCCUGACGCAGCGACGCCGCGUGCGGGAUGAAGGCCUUCGGGUUGUAAACCGCUUUCACCGGGGACGAAGCGAGAGUGACGGUACCUGGGGAAGAAGCGCCGGCUAACUACGUGCCAGCAGCCGC